RNAcentral lists this ribosomal RNA (260 nucleotides) under uncultured bacterium. RNAcentral's name for it is "partial 16S ribosomal RNA". It matches the Rfam family "Bacterial small subunit ribosomal RNA", at positions 524 to 776 of the family's 1533-position model. The record is from RNAcentral.
AACAGAGGGGGCGAGCGUUAAUCAUCAUGACUGGGCGUAAAGGGUGCGUAGGCGGACAUUAUUAAAACGGCUUGAGGGGAAUGAUUGCGUAUCGACGCAAACCUGCUUCUUGCAAUGUUUGUCUACUGAGAUAAGAUGGGGUUAGUGGAAAGUGAUGUCGAAUGGGCUAAGCUCCAACAUAUCAAGUAACACCAAUAGCGAAGGCAGCUAACCGGACUUAAUCUGACGCUGAUUGCACGAAACUUAUGGGAGCGAGAUGG